Molecule: ribosomal RNA, 253 nt
Filed under: uncultured bacterium
Lineage: Bacteria
Description: partial 16S ribosomal RNA
Rfam family: Bacterial small subunit ribosomal RNA
Source: RNAcentral
UACAGAGGUCUCAAGCGUUGUUCGGAUUCAUUGGGCGUAAAGGGUGCGUAGGCGGCGCGGUGAGUCGGGUGUGAAAUCUCGGAGCUUAACUCCGAAACUGCAUUCGAUACUGCCGUGCUUGAGGACUGGAGAGGAGACUGGAAUUUACGGUGUAGCGGUGAAAUGCGUAGAUAUCGUAAGGAAGACCAGUGGCGAAGGCGGGUCUCUGGACAGUUCCUGACGCUGAGGCACGAAGGCCAGGGGAGCAAACGGG